UGGCUCAUUAAAUCAGUUAUCGUUUAUUUGAUAGUACCUUACUACUUGGAUAACCGUGGUAAUUCUAGAGCUAAUACAUGCUGAAAACCCCGACUUCGGGAGGGGCGUAUUUAUUAGAUAAAAAACCAAUGCCCUCCGGGGCUUUUUGGUGAUUCAUGAUAACUUAACGGAUCGCAUGGCCUUGCGCCGGCGACGGUUCAUUCAAAUUUCUGCCCUAUCAACUUUCGAUGGUAAGGUAUUGGCUUACCAUGGUUUCAACGGGUAACGGGGAAUUAGGGUUCGAUUCCGGAGAGGGAGCCUGAGAAACGGCUACCACAUCCAAGGAAGGCAGCAGGCGCGCAAAUUACCCAAUCCCGACACGGGGAGGUAGUGACAAUAAAUACUGAUACAGGGCUCUUUUGGGUCUUGUAAUUGGAAUGAGUACAAUUUAAAUCCCUUAACGAGGAACAAUUGGAGGGCAAGUCUGGUGCCAGCAGCCGCGGUAAUUCCAGCUCCAAUAGCGUAUAUUAAAGUUGUUGCAGUUAAAAAGCUCGUAGUUGAAUCUUGGGCCUGGCUGGCCGGUCCGCCUCACCGCGUGCACUGGUCCGGCCGGGUCUUUUCUUCUGGAGAGCCCCAUGCCCUUCACUGGGUGUGCGGGGGAACCAGGACUUUUACUUUGAAAAAAUUAGAGUGUUCAAAGCAGGCCUUUGCUCGAAUACGUUAGCAUGGAAUAAUAGAAUAGGACGUGUGGUUCUAUUUUGUUGGUUUCUAGAACCGCCGUAAUGAUUAAUAGGGAUAGUCGGGGGCAUCAGUAUUCAAUUGUCAGAGGUGAAAUUCUUAGAUCAAUUGAAGACUAACUACUGCGAAAGCAUUUGCCAAGGAUGUUUUCAUUAAUCAGUGAACGAAAGUUAGGGGAUCGAAGACGAUCAGAUACCGUCGUAGUCUUAACCGUAAACUAUGCCGACUAGGGAUCGGGCGGCACACAAUUUUGGUCCGCCCGGCACCUUACGAGAAAUCAAAG
RNAcentral lists this ribosomal RNA (1000 nucleotides) under Amorocoelophoma cassiae. Its description in RNAcentral is "SSU rRNA". It matches the Rfam family "Eukaryotic small subunit ribosomal RNA", at positions 94 to 1103 of the family's 1831-position model. Lineage: Eukaryota; Fungi; Ascomycota; Dothideomycetes; Pleosporales; Amorosiaceae. The record is from RNAcentral.